UGGUGUAUUACUUGAUCAAUGACACUUAUCCUGCCAAAAUGUCAACUUAUAUAAAUAAAUUGAUUCUCUGGUUUUCGUGUCCUUCUCUUAUAGGUUUUUCCAGUCCAAAUAAUUUUCCCAGAGUGUGAUCACACUUGGAGUGAACUGAUAGAAUUGACUUUGGCAAACCACACAACUAAACACCUGGCCUGUGUUAAUCUCACACAGGGCUGCACUUCAUUCAGUGACGAAAGGAAGACGUGAUGAGAUGGGACAACCAGGUUUUGAGAGAAUGCUUGACUUGGCAUAAGACCAAUUUUAUUAGCCAAGAAUGACAAGACACAUUGAACAGAGGUGUCAGACUUGUGAGAAGUAUAUAAAAUAGGAUUCCAAAGCAGAGAGGGCAGUUGAACGAAUGAAGAAAGUGACCUCUGCUCUGAAGUCAGCUUGUGCACUUAGUUUCUGUCCCUGGAAUCAGACACAGUGAGAAUCAGAAACAUUUCCUUAAUACAGCAAAGUAAUCACAACAUGAUGCCCAAGAAAGAGACUGGCACCACAUGGAACAUUCUAUAAGUGUGAGGCCAUCUUGACCCAGCCUCCUUUGCUUUGGAAUUUCUAAACAUGUCAGGAAAUUUGUUGAUCUACCCCCUCCAAGUGUUUGGAUCUCGGAAGGCAGACCAGUCUUAUUCCUACUGACACUCUCCAAGCACCUCCUCCCAACUUCAGGACCAGCUUUUAUAGCACUGUGGUGUAAUUUUUAAGAGCACAAAAUGGAGAUAAAUCAAAGUGGUCCAAUACCAACACCAUGAAUUACAAGCUGUGUAAUCUUGAGUAAAUUACUUAACCUCUCUGAGCUUCAGUUUUCUUAUCUGUACAAAAGAUUGCUGUAAGGAUGAAUGAGUUCAUAUAUGUAAACUACUUGGAAUACAAAAUAUGUAUGUUUUAACUGUUAUAAUCCCCUCACUGUAGGACAUGCACUUGUACCAUAUAUUCUUCCUCUUUUCUGGCCUAUGAUUUAGAGUGAAAACAAUGUGGUCAGGCCUUCAAGCUUUGUUCCCUAAUGUUUAAAAAGAAGCUUUUGGGAUUUAGAACAUUCUUUUCUAUCUCAAAGACUGAGUAGUUACAUUCAAAAGCCCAGAUUUCAGGGCUAUUGUUCCUGAGAUGGACUUCAAGUGCCUAUUUUGGAAGUCUAGAAAUGAACAUAGAUUUUUAGCUUCUGCGUGCAUCCCAGCUAUAAAGAUACUAAACUUCUCUGAGGCAAUAGGCACUGCUGGCUAAAAAGAGAAAGAUCAUGAGCAAAGAUGAAAAAAGGGGCAGUAAUUAAAGUAAUAAUAUAUUUCAAAAUGCUACACAAAUAAUAAUGAAGGAGAACAAACAUUUAAAAUUUCCUUUAAAAGUGCCAGGUGUCAGGCCAUGAAAUAUAUAUAAACUUCAUCUUUGCAACCACCUAUUAUAUGCAUAGUUUUAUUUUACUGGUGAGUAAACGAAGGUUUGUAGAGUUUUGUUACUGCUCAAACAAUACAGUGUGAUAAGGGGUAGGCUAUGAUUUGAGCUGACGUUUUGCUUCCAAGGACACGGUCUUUCCACUCGUUGUUCCUGGUACCCCACCCCCUGCUCUCUAAAAUUUAAUUCUCUGAAAGAAAAGCAUCUGACUGGAAAACAGCAUUUUCUAUCAAGAGAUUUCCAUCAUCAGCUGGGAAUGUAUCAAUUGUGGGGAGCAUCUUCCUGAACCUUCAAAGCCUUUUCUCUGUCAGAAGAGAAAUCUCAACCUCAUCAGAAUCUAGGGUACUGGUUCCAUCUGCAAGUUUGACAUCUCAAUGUGAUUAGAUAGAUCCUCCCAAAGGAUGGGUGCCUUCAUUCACUCAAGAAAUACCUUGCCUGUGGUGAUGGGACUUUUCCUCUGCUGGAUGGAAGACAUCUGUUCCCUGGUAAACCCAAUCUAAUCACAUGAGUCCUGAAGCCUGGAAGUGGAAGAGAGAGGAAGUGGGUCAGAGAGAGGACAGGAAAGAAGGCAGGAGAGAUGCGAAGCAUGGAAAGGAUUCUUUUAUUCCUGGCUGGAAGUUGGAGAAGGAGGGUAACAAACCCAGGAAUGUGGCUGACCUGUUGAAGUUGGGAAUGGCCCUUUGCAGACAGCCUGCAAGCAGACAGGAAUCUCAGUCCUACAAGUGCAAAAAGUGAAUUCUGCCAACAACUUGAAUUAGCAGGAAAUUGAUUCUCUCCUAAGGCCUCCAGAAAGCAAUGCAGCCCUGCCCACAGCUGGAGAUUGGCCUGGUAAGAUCCAUGUUGGACUUCUAACCUACAG
Molecule: long non-coding RNA, 2281 nt
Filed under: Homo sapiens (human)
Lineage: Eukaryota; Metazoa; Chordata; Mammalia; Primates; Hominidae
Description: HSALNT0074897
Source: RNAcentral